This 339-nucleotide long non-coding RNA is filed under the name Dermacentor andersoni. Its description in RNAcentral is "uncharacterized LOC126539761". The record is from RNAcentral. Lineage: Eukaryota; Metazoa; Arthropoda; Arachnida; Ixodida; Ixodidae.
UCGGAGAAAAUCCUUGUCAUCGAUGGAUACUCUAUUGGCCUGAAGAAAGCUUCCGUCCUUGCCGACACAGUCCUACUUCUGGAUGUAACAGAAGACGGUACUAUUGAGCGAUAUGUUCAAGGUGCACACUACGAAAGAGACUUGUUUGAAGAUGUGAACAAACAAGCAUCCCUGAUCCUGAAGCCCGUAGGGAGAGGCGAUUAUCACAUUACAGGGAUGGUAAAUUUCACUCAUAGAAUUGAGCCUUGCCGAAUUUGCGAACGAUCGUCUCAAGAAGUACUGGCUCACCAAAUAUCAAUAAUUGACACCCCAACUGGCACCUAUGAUCUUGUGGAUAAU